UACGAAGGAUCCAAGCGUUGUCCGGAUUUACUGGGUUUAAAGGGUGCGUAGGCGGCCUAUUAAGUCAGUGCUGAAAUAUCCCGGCUUAACCGGGAGGGUGGCAUUGAUACUGAUGGGCUUGAGUAGAGUUGAGGUUGGCGGAAUUGACGGUGUAGCGGUGAAAUGCUUAGAUAUCGUCAAGAACACCUAUUGCGAAGGCAGCUAACUAAGCUCAAACUGACGCUGAGGCACGAAAGUGUGGGGAUCAAACAGG
This 253-nucleotide ribosomal RNA is filed under the name uncultured bacterium. RNAcentral describes it as "partial 16S ribosomal RNA". It matches the Rfam family "Bacterial small subunit ribosomal RNA", at positions 524 to 776 of the family's 1533-position model. The record is from RNAcentral.